GACGAACGCUGGCGGCGUGCUUAACACAUGCAAGUCGAACGAAGUGGCGAACGGGUGAGUAACGCGUAAUCAACCUGCCCUUCAGAGGGGGACAACAGUUGGAAACGACUGCUAAUACCGCAUACUGAAGGAGGGGAUUGCGUCUGAUGAGCUUGUUGGGGGGGUAACGGCCCACCAAGGCGAUGAUCAGUAGCCGGUCUGGGGAGGUGAACGGCCACAAUGGGACUGGGACACGGCCCAGACUCCUACGGGAGGCAGCAGGGGGGAAUCUUCCGGAAUGGACGAAAGGCUGACGGGGCAACGCCGCGUGAGUGAUGACGGCCUUCGGGUUGUAAAGCUCUGUUAAUCGGGACGCGGUACCGGAAUAGAAAGCCACGGCUAACUACGUGCCAGCCGCCGCGGUAAUUC
Molecule: ribosomal RNA, 408 nt
Filed under: uncultured bacterium
Lineage: Bacteria
Description: partial 16S ribosomal RNA
Rfam family: Bacterial small subunit ribosomal RNA
Source: RNAcentral